AGCAGCCGCGGUAAUUCCAGCUCCAAUAGCGUAUAUUAAAGUUGUUGCAGUUAAAAAGCUCAUAGUUGAAUUUUAGGCCUGAUCGGGCGGUCCGUCUCUGACGAGUACUGUCCUGUUGUCGGGUCUAUCCUUCUGGUGAGCCGAUAUGUCCUUUACUGGGUGUGUCGGGGAACCAGGACCAUUACCUUGAAAAAUUAGAGUGUUUAAAGCGGGCUUUUGCUUGAAUAGAUUAGCAUGGAAUAAUAGAAUAGGACGUUGGUUCUAUUUUGUUGGUCGAGGACCACCGUAAUGAUUAAUAGGGAUAGUUGGG
Molecule: ribosomal RNA, 310 nt
Filed under: uncultured Archaeospora
Lineage: Eukaryota; Fungi; Glomeromycota; Glomeromycetes; Archaeosporales; Archaeosporaceae
Description: SSU rRNA
Rfam family: Eukaryotic small subunit ribosomal RNA
Source: RNAcentral